CCUAAAAAGUAAUGGAGGCGUUCAUCAAGGUCGGCUAGCUCCGGAUGGAAAUCGGAGCGAUAGCGUAAAGGCAAAAGCCGGCUUUACUGCAAGACGGAUGUGUCGCGCAGUUGCGAAAGCAGGACUUAGUGAACCGACUCUAACUCGUAGGAGUGGAGAAGAUCAUCAACUAAAAGCUACUCCGGGGAUAA
Molecule: ribosomal RNA, 191 nt
Filed under: Candidatus Yanofskybacteria bacterium RIFCSPLOWO2_01_FULL_41_33
Lineage: Bacteria; Candidatus Yanofskyibacteriota
Description: partial 23S ribosomal RNA
Rfam family: Bacterial large subunit ribosomal RNA
Source: RNAcentral